GAUGAACGCUGGCGGCGUGCCUAAUACAUGCAAGUCGAGCGAACGGACGAGAAGCUUGCUUCUCUGAUGUUAGCGGCGGACGGGUGAGUAACACGUGGAUAACCUACCUAUAAGACUGGGAUAACUUCGGGAAACCGUAGCUAAUACCGGAUAAUAUUUUGAACCGCAUGGUUCAAAAGUGAAAGACGGUCUUGCUGUCACUUAUAGAUGGAUCCGCGCUGCAUUAGCUAGUUGGUAAGGUAACGGCUUACCAAGGCAACGAUGCAUAGCCGACCUGAGAGAGUGAUCGGCCACACUGGAACUGAGACACGGUCCAUACUCCUACGGGAGGCAGCAGUAGGGAAUCUUCCGCAAUGGGCGAAAGCCUGACGGAGCAACGCCGCGUGAGUGAUGAAGGUCUUCGGAUCGUAAAACUCUGUUAUUAGGGAAGAACAUAUGUGUAAGUAACUGUGCACAUCUUGACGGUACCGAAUCAGAAAGCCACGGCUAACUACGUG
Molecule: ribosomal RNA, 497 nt
Filed under: uncultured bacterium
Lineage: Bacteria
Description: partial 16S ribosomal RNA
Rfam family: Bacterial small subunit ribosomal RNA
Source: RNAcentral